Molecule: ribosomal RNA, 466 nt
Filed under: uncultured bacterium
Lineage: Bacteria
Description: partial 16S ribosomal RNA
Rfam family: Bacterial small subunit ribosomal RNA
Source: RNAcentral
GACGAACGCUGGCGGCGUGCUUAACACAUGCAAGUCGAACGGAAAGGCCCUGCUUUUGUGGGGUGCUCGAGUGGCGAACGGGUGAGUAACACGUGAGUAACCUGCCCUUGACUUUGGGAUAACUUCAGGAAACUGGGGCUAAUACCGGAUAGGAGCUCCUGCUGCAUGGUGGGGGUUGGAAAGUUUCGGCGGUUGGGGAUGGACUCGCGGCUUAUCAGCUUGUUGGUGGGGUAGUGGCUUACCAAGGCUUUGACGGGUAGCCGGCCUGAGAGGGUGACCGGCCACAUUGGGACUGAGAUACGGCCAAGACUCCUACGGGAGGCAGCAGUGGGGAAUAUUGCACAAUGGGCGGAAGCCUGAUGCAGCAACGCCGCGUGCGGGAUGACGGCCUUCGGGUUGUAAACCGCUUUCGCCUGUGACGAAGCGUGAGUGACGGUAAGGGGUAAAGAAGCACCGGCUAACUACG